This 333-nucleotide ribosomal RNA is filed under the name uncultured Rhodospirillaceae bacterium. RNAcentral describes it as "bacterial SSU rRNA". It matches the Rfam family "Bacterial small subunit ribosomal RNA", at positions 568 to 898 of the family's 1533-position model. Lineage: Bacteria; Pseudomonadati; Pseudomonadota; Alphaproteobacteria; Rhodospirillales; Rhodospirillaceae. The record is from RNAcentral.
CGCGUAGGCGGAUUUGUAAGUCAGAGGUGAAAGCCCUGGGCUCAACCCGGGAAUGGCCUUUGAGACUGCAAGUCUUGAGUGCGAGAGAGGGUGGCGGAAUACCCAGUGUAGAGGUGAAAUUCGUAGAUAUUGGGUAGAACACCAGUGGCGAAGGCGGCCACCUGGCUCGCAACUGACGCUGAGGCGCGAAAGCGUGGGGAGCAAACAGGAUUAGAUACCCUGGUAGUCCACGCCGUAAACGAUGUGUGCUAGCCGUUGGUGACCUUUUUGGUCGUCGGUGGCGCAGCUAACGCGAUAAGCACACCGCCUGGGGAGUACGGCCGCAAGGUUAAA